AGAGUUUGAUCCUGGCUCAGAAUGAACGUUGGCGGCGUGGAUUAGGCAUGCAAGUCGAGCGAGAAUUUCAUUGUUGAAGCUUCGGUGGAUUCAAUGGAAGGACAGCGGCAAACGGCGUAGUAAUGCGUAGGUACGUACCCUCAGGUUGGGGAUAGCCACGGGAAACUGUGGGUAAUACCCAAUAAUCUCUGCGGAGCAAAGGUGUGAUUCCGCCUGAGGAGCGGCUUACGUGAUAUUAGCUAGAUGGUGGGGUAAUGGCCUACCAUGGCGACGAUGUCUCGGGGGUGUGAGAGCAUGGCCCCCACGACCGGAACUGAGAUACUGUCCGGACACCUACGGGUGGCUGCAGUCGAGAAUCUUCCGCAAUGGGCGAAAGCCUGACGGAGCGACGCCGCGUGCGGGAUGAAGGCCCUUGGGUUGUAAACCGCUGUCAGAGGGGAUGAAAUCAUGGUUGGUUAUCCUUCCAUG
This 468-nucleotide ribosomal RNA is filed under the name uncultured Planctomycetota bacterium. Its description in RNAcentral is "bacterial SSU rRNA". It matches the Rfam family "Bacterial small subunit ribosomal RNA", at positions 8 to 468 of the family's 1533-position model. Lineage: Bacteria; Pseudomonadati; Planctomycetota. The record is from RNAcentral.